RNAcentral lists this unclassified non-coding RNA (337 nucleotides) under Hevea brasiliensis (rubber tree). Lineage: Eukaryota; Viridiplantae; Streptophyta; Magnoliopsida; Malpighiales; Euphorbiaceae. The record is from RNAcentral.
ACCGCGGCCCGUACCGCAGUCGGGGAGGUUGCCGUCCUCGUCGGAGAAGGUAAGGCCGAGCUGGAUGAGCUUAAGGAGGUCAACGUUCGCUUUCAGGGUUGCAUAAUUGAAGUCCGAGCUCGUCUUGAAGUUACCGACGGGGCGGAUGACGAUUCCGGGGAACUCGGUGUCCAUGGCGACGUAGGGAAAGUUCUCGACGAUGCCGCGGAUCAGCUCGAACUCGGCGUCGAGAUUGCUGGCCCAGACCUCUCGGAUCUGGAUCGAGUCGUCGGAGGGCGGGAUCGGGGGCAUCGUAUCAAAGAUCUGACCUGGAAUCGGCGGGGAGGGGCGGAUCUGA